Molecule: ribosomal RNA, 404 nt
Filed under: Verrucomicrobiota bacterium
Lineage: Bacteria; Pseudomonadati; Verrucomicrobiota
Description: Verrucomicrobia bacterium partial 16S ribosomal RNA
Rfam family: Bacterial small subunit ribosomal RNA
Source: RNAcentral
UGGGGAAUAUUGCACAAUGGGGGAAACCCUGAUGCAGCGACGCCGCGUGAGCGAUGAAGGCUUUCGAGUCGUAAAGCUCUGUCCUAUGGGAAGAUAAUGACGGUACCAUAGAAGAAAGCCCCGGCUAAUUACGUGCCAGCAGCCGCGGUAAUACGUAAGGGGCGAGCGUUGUCCGGAAUUAUUGGGCGUAAAGAGUGCGUAGGCGGCAAAUUAAGUCAGAUGUGAAAACUAAGGGCUCAACCCAUAGAUUGCAUCUGAAACUGAUAUGCUUGAGUCAAGGAGAGGAAAGUAGAAUUACUAGUGUAGCGGUGGAAUGCAUAGAUAUUAAGAGGAAUACCGGUGGCGAAGGCGACUUUCUGGACUUGAACUGACGCUGAGGCACGAAAGCGUGGGGAGCAAACAGG